Molecule: ribosomal RNA, 306 nt
Filed under: uncultured bacterium
Lineage: Bacteria
Description: partial 16S ribosomal RNA
Rfam family: Bacterial small subunit ribosomal RNA
Source: RNAcentral
GACAGCAGUAGCCACGGUAAUACAGAGGGUGCAAGCGUUAAUCGGAUUUACUGGGCGUAAAGGGCGCGUAGGUGGUUAUUUAAGUGAGAUGUGAAAGCCCCGGGCUCAACCUGGGAAUGGCAGUGGAUACUGGCUCGCUAGAGUGUGCCAGAGGAUGGUGGAAUUCCCGGUGUAGCGGUGAAAUGCGUAGAGAUCGGGAGGAACAUCAGUGGCGAAGGCGGCCAUCUGGGACAACACUGACGCUGAGGCACGAAAGCGUGGGGAGCAAACAGGAUUAGAUACCCCCGUAGUCCCUGUCUCUUAUAC